CCCUUUUUGUCUUUUCUAGAUACUGUUGUGAAGGACCAGGCUCGAAUGGGCUCAUCUAGCAUGCCGGGGGGCAGUACGCCUGUGAGCAGCGCCAGUAUGAUGUCAGGGAUUUCUUCAGUGCCAACCCCUUCACCCCUUGGACCUCUGGCAGGCUCACCAGUGAUUGCUGCGGCCAACCCCCUUGGGAUGCCUGUUCCAGCUGCCGCAGGCGCUCAGCAGUAAUGGCCCCUUCUGUCUCCUGAUGCCUGAGCAGAGGUGGAGGCGUCCGCGCUCUCCUUGAUGCAGCUUGCGCCUGGCGGGGAGGGGUGAAAUACUUCAGAAGCACCGUGUCUGAACCGUUGCUUGUGGAUUUAUAGUAGUUCAGUCAUAAAGAAAAAUUAUAAUAGGCUGAUUUUCUUUUUUUUUUUUUUUCCUUCUUUUUUUUAACUCGAACUUUUCAUAACUCAGGGGAUUCCCUGAAAAAUUACCUGCAGGUGGAAUAUUUCACGGACAAAAUCUUUCCCCCCUUUCAAAUUCAGUUUCUCAUCACUAAAGAACAAAGAUGAACCAGCCUCAAUCCUGGCUGCUGCAUUUGGGUGGAGAUAUCUUCCCAUGUCCACCAUUGCUCCCCCACCAUCCCACACUAUGGGGGGUUUAUAUCUCGUGCUCUUCUCCAGAGAUUACAAAAAGGUUGUAGCUUCUUCAAGGGAGGUGGGAAGGAAGGAGGAAGAGAGGGCCCAAGCUACAAGAGCAGUGUACUGCUGGUCACUUUUCUCACACUACUCCAAGUACUUCAGUGGGGUUGUCCUGGUGAAUCUAGUGGAAAUAUGUCUUAGUUUCAUUGAGAUGCUGAAAAUCUACCCAAAGUGCAGACAGGUCCUGAAAACUUCCGUUCAGUAUGAAUCAUGUCUUAUUGACCUAACCCUAAAUCCAGCUCACUUCUACUUUUAAUUUCAGUUCAGUUUAAGAUUAUAAUACCUUCCCUCCCAGGCUCCUUACCUUGGUCCUCUCCCCUAUCAUCUCCCCAUGUGCUCUAUAGCUGGUGGGAGGGGGAGGAAAAAUCUUUUUCAGUUUUGACUUGGCCAUUUUGAAUUCAGUUAGUUACUGGGCUUAACUUAUUGCUUUUUACAAAAGAAAAACAUUGUCUAUAUAGGUUUCAUGCUAGCAACUCUUUAAGAGCUAAUGAAAGAUGUGGCCACACCGAGUUUCAUCUUAAGCUUUCUACCUUCUUUUCUUCCUUUCUUCCCCUUCCUUCACAUGCCAUCCAGUGAGAAGACCUGCCCCUCAGUCUUGUAAAUGUAUCUGAGAGGUAGGAGCAGAGCCACUAUCUCCAGUGAAACUGAAAUGGUAGACCUGUAAUUGUGGGAAAACUAUAAACUCUCUUGUUACAGCCCUGCCACCCCUUGCUGUGUGUAUAUAUAUAAUACUUUGUCCUUCAUAUGUGAAAGAUCCAGUGUUGGAAUUCUUUGGUGUAAAUAAACGUUUGGUUUUAUUUAUCAAGGUUAGAUUUAAGUUCCCUGUGUAAAGGUCUCGCUGGGUGGGUGUCUCACGUUCACAUCUGAGGGGCCUGCAACCCUGUACCGUGGAGGCUUCCCAAGGCCCCCAUUUUUAUACACCCCCCUCAUUUGACCCAUGGUACCGGGCAGGGCAGAGAGGCCUUAAAAAAGCACCACAAGCCAAAGCGUCUCUGGGGAUUAAGGAUCCUUUGCCAUAAAACUCAUUUUGUGUCUCAGCAGUGCAGGGAUUGGGGAUGGAAAAGUCGCCAGUUUUUGUGUGUUUGUGUGUGUGUAAAGUGGAUUUUCCACUGUAAUCCAACCACCUAAGUUUAUCAGGUGCUUCACUGAGGAAGCCUAGUUUUUUAAGCACAAUAGCAAAACCAUCAGCUCUGUAUUUUCUCCUGUUCUUUCAUUACAGUAGCUGCUUGUGGGAACUAGGAAAAAUUCUUCCAACAUAUUUGAAGGCCUAAAGUCUUAGUUCCCCUUUCUCCUACCUUUAUAGAUCAUAAGCCUUUCUUGCCUGGGCGCCAUAGACAAGCAUAAUUGUUUCACGAGUUGAAUUUAAUGAACUUAUCUAACUUUAUAACCCAUCUUGGCUCUAGUAACUUGAUCAAGGUGGUGGCUUUCAUGAAUAUAACGGUAAACUUUAGAGGAAGCUAAAGCCUCCUUUUAUAAUGCUUCUCAACCAUAGGGAAAACAUUCUGUGUGGCAGGGUGAUUUUCUUUCUUGUGGCCACUUAACAGUGGAUAUUUAUUGUUCUUGACCCUUUUAUGCCCUAGAAUGCUGUGGGGGUUACCAUGUUGAAUUUGUGCAGAAGCUAAAAGCACCGGAUGUGCCAGAGAUGCAAUUUGUGAUUACGUUUGCACUGGAUUGUGAUUUGAACAGGACACUUAGGACUAAUGAACUCUUUCUUUUGAGGUGGGGAGGAGGGUUGUAAAUCGAGACUUCACAUCCCACCCUUAUAGCUCAGAGAAUCUAGUUGUGGCUGAGGUUGAUGUGGGGAGCUGCAGACAGCUGGACCUCCUAAAAACACAUCAGACCUUGCAAGAGACGGAAGGUGAAUGCAGAGGACUCUGAAAUGCCACCCAAGAGCCUUUUAAAAUAAAUAGAAGUUUUUAAAAUGCUACUUAAGGAGUCACUGCAGAAGCAUGAAAAAAAGAAGACCCAGUUGGGCGGGUGGGUGGGGGGCAAGGGUUUACAGAGUAACAACUUCUGUGUUGUUGUAAAUUACCUCAUCUGUAUACCUUGUAUUGGGACACUUUAUUUCUCAGCACUACCUGUGUCUGCAUUGAUUAGAUGGCAGGAAAUGGAAUGCCAAUAUAAGACAGUUGUGUUGGCAAUUACUCUGAAAGGUUUUUUAAGUAUUUUUUAACUUUGUUUGAAGUGGCCCCCCCCCCUUUUUUUUAAGUUUGAAGUCAGAAGUUCCCCCUCGCCCCCUUGAUUUAUUGGUUGUAAUUGUAUUGUAAUUGGUAUAACUAAAACAUAACUGUGCUGGGAAGAAGUUGUGCCAUGAAGGUCUUUAAUUUUUUUUAAAUAAAAACAUUUAAACAAAUGAAAUGUCCCUGCAGCCUGAGCAAUAUGCUUCUCCAACCGACACCGUGUGUGAUAGAUGGCUUAGCUUUCGUGUGCUUUGAAUUUAAUUUUGGGUUGAUGGAGAUGUGAAAUGGGAUGGAUUAAGAUUGGUUGAGGGUCUGGAAGUUUUUGACCUCAAGAGUCAGUGAAGAGAGCAUGAUGUUGUUGCUAAACAGGAUUGGUUUCAUUCCUGCCCUUGUCACUUACUGGGCUACUUGGCAAGUUACUUAACUUGUGAAUCUGUUUCAUCAUCUAUAAAAUGGGGCCACUGCUUUCUUGGGAUUGAAUGAGAGUAAAUGUCAAGUAUCUGGCACCUGCUACGCUCUUGAUAAACCUAAUUCCCCUGGUAUGGAGGAUUGGUUCUGGGUCCUGGCUUUGCAAGUGAUACACAGUACGAUCCAUUCUCUGGACCUCCUCGUCCUCUGUGUGCUCAGUCAGGGUGAGGUUCCGGGUGAGGUGUCUUCUGAGUUCCUUUUCAGCUCUAACACUGAUUUAGAAAGUUUGGUGCUUAAAUAAAAAGGUCCACAGAGACGGCUUUGUUCAAUUGCAGAAAAGAUCGGUGUUGAGUGAAUGGUAGUAAGCCCUGUGGACGGUCAGCCUUGGAGAUACCUGCGCCCUGGAGGUAACUUGCAGAGUCCUGACUUCAAGAUGUUCUGGAGAGCUUAUAGGAACAUAUUUGGCAGCUUAAACAGAAACUAUUCAAAGGGCUGGUAAAAGAGGUGAAAAAGUUCACUUGCUUAUCAGUGCCAAAUGAGUCAAUUCUGCAAGAUUAUAUACUUGAGUUGCCAUUUGAUCAUUCUCAUUUAACCACAAUUUUAAAAAAUUGAAAUCAGGAAAUGCUGUUAUCUCAGACUUCUAGUUUCUUUUAAAUCUUCACUGCAUACUAUUUUAUGACAUCCACUUGUUAUUAAUAUUGGGAGUUGAGACAUGGUUUAGGUAAGAGGAACUAUUGUGUAAUCUCUAACCCUAACUUUUCAUGAACUUUAAUUUUAUUUCCAUUUUAUACAUGAGACAGGAAGACUAAAUUGCUAGAGUGGGCCUGUUAGAGACAGAGGAAUCUAUUUUGUAAAAUUGUCUUCGGGGUAUGGCUAAUUACCAUAGUCCUAAAAUAGUCGAGAAAAUUGGAGAUUGGUUGACAGAUUGGGGAAUUUUCAUUUCCUCUCAGUCUUUAAAUUUCAUCUUGCCUCACCUGUUGUCAAGUGUGGUUAUAAUUAGAACUGACCAUUUGAACAUCUCUUGAAGAAUCUAGUUUUUUUUACCACUGCCUAUAGAUUCCCACCAGCAGAUUCUCUCCCAAGAUUAGGGUUGGGUUGAAUAUUUGCUCAGCCAUCAGUCUGCCCCCAGCUGGUGAUCUCCCUUGUGCCUCAACUCCAGUGACUGUGGCUGAUUUUCCUCAUGGGACAUGCUUGCUAGAGAGGCUGUCUUCCCCAGGGCCUUUUCCUGCUUGAGGAAAAAGUUAACCAAAAGGCUUUGAAGUAAAGUAGUCCCUGGUUCCCUCCUCAAAAAACAAGUCUAAAAACCUUGAUCCAAGCAGAUAUUCACCCUAUCUCAAGUCCCCUCAGCCUGCUUUCCCCCACUGCCAUCACUAUCCCCUUUCCCCUGUCUUGUAACACCUGAGCUUUUUAUUGUAUUAUUAUCUCUCCCCGCCUACAUGUAAGCACCCUGCUGACCUUAUAUAUCUUACUAAUCUGUGCAUCCUCAUAAAAACCUUUUUUUUUAAAAAAGUGCACCAAUAUCCCUCAGGAUUGAAGACGAUUGAAUAGAGUAGCACAUGGAAAAUGCCUAGCACCAUACCAGGCGCAUAACAGAUGCUCAGUCAAAGGUAAUUCCAUCUCCACUCCCACCUCACCUUCCCACAUCCCCCCACAGUAAGUAAUGGAAGUAUGUAUUAUUGCAUAAGGAGCAUCUCAAGGUCAGAAGACUCUUGCCCUUAAGUUUGCAGCUGUAAUUAUAAGCCAUGGGUCAGACUGAAAAUGUUUAUUUAAUGGGCGUUUGGUGAAAUAGAAGUGGCUGAAGACUAAGCAAUGAUCCUGACCAAUUUAGUAGACUUUGAUGCUAACAGCCCUGCUUUCCACCACUUGUGUAUAAUAAUAUAAAAUUCAGACUAUUCUCAAAGUAAAAUAGAUGUAUAGAGGGUGUCACAAGAUAGUCUGGCUCUGGAGUCAAGGUAUUCAAGUACUAUUUCUAGAUUUUGUACCUUAGUAUGAUUCUGUGCUAAAUUGAACCACUUCAGAGAAGUAACCUAGAAGAACUGCAAAUGUCCUGGUUCUAAACAGAGUUCUGUCUGGGUGUGUGGUUUAGGGUCAGUUACUUAACCUCUCUGAGGCUAUAACACACCCAUGAGCCUACUGCCCAGGUUAAGCCCCCUUUGCCCUUUAUUUCCUGAUCAUAUCCUCUUCUCUUCCUCCCUGCCCCAGAUGUUCUAAUACUUUCUUCAUCUGUAAAAUUGGGGUCUAAAUACCUGUUUUCAUAGGAUAGUGGUUCACAUUCGAUGAUAAGUGUUUGGAAAGUGCCUGGCACACACUACAGUUGGACUAAAUGCUCAUUUCCAUUGUACAGUUGUGCAGAUUCAUGUGCAGAAAGCGAAUGUCACGUGUAUAGGGAUGCCAUAAGUUGGUGCAUUCAUUCCUACAAUUUCACAGCAGAUGAUGGUAAAGUGUCUCCUUGAAGAAAAAAAAAAUCCAUCCAUUAAAUGUGACCGAUUUUCAACGAUGAAAGUCGUUUGUAAUUUGCAUGAAGGCCAACAUUGCCUUGUCUGUUCCCACCCCAUUUCACUAAUUCCCUCUAAGAUUAUCACUCUAUCUCCUUUGAAUUUUUAAUUUAUCUACUGAAAACUAUUCUUGCCCUGUAGCAAAUUACAGUGUGGAUUUGCCUCCCUGUGGCUGUAAUCACCAGGGAUUCUUAGUGGUCUCAAUGUUAAUGCUUCCAGAUGGGAGCUAAUAAAAUGGCCGCUCCUUUUCUUGGAGAAGUUCCUGAGGGGAUUGAGUAUUUCUGACUCAGCUUCAUUCUUGCAUCACCUGCUUUGACAGAAUUUUCUUGCCUUCUCUAAAGAAGAAAAAGGAAAAGCAGCGGCAGCUGGUAAGUGGUUUCCUGAUCCCACCCUGUGAGUCAGUCACAGCUAUAGAUAAACAUUUGUAGAAUUACCUAGAAAGGAAGGAGGAGGACAUUGCUUUUUUCUGUGUGAACAGUUCCGGGAACUCCACAGUGAAUUUCCUGUGAAGAAGCUUACAUACCCACAGUUCUCCACACUCUGAUGCACACCUUCUUCUGUUCCCCAUUCACCCACUCAGCUCCAUCCCCCUCAGCCCAGGGUUCCUUACACACUCACCUUAUUGACUGGUCUUUCCAGAGUUCAUUUGUUUAUAUCAGAUGCCCUUCAACAAACAGUAGUAGGUGUUCAUGAGCCCAGCCCUGUGCUAAACAAUGGAGAUUGGAAGAGAUGAGACAUAAACCCAUGGGGAAAUGUGUUCUUGUCAAAUAGAAAAGUGAGAAACAAAACUAUGUAUAUGGGGAACUGUGUUUCUAAAAAGAGUUACUGGAAAAAUCAGAUUGCCAGUCAACAUGGUAGAGUAAGCAGGUGGCCACCUACCUCCUGCUCUAAAUACAUAAGGAUGCUGGCUAAAAUAACAAUUUACUUUAAAUAAAUAGCCAAUUUCAAAGAAAUGGAAGUUCCCAGGUGGCAGAAAGAAGAAUUCAUUCUGAAGGUCAACUGUAACUGUAGUUCAACUGUCUAAACUGGAUUCAGCCAAACAGCUCUGCUUUAGGUUGAGGCUGGGCUGGGCUCCUGUGUUGAUUGGACUCCAGUUUGUUCCCUGUGGUUCCUUCUGGGACCCGUGCUGAAGUUGGAGCAGCUGCCCAGGGUUGUUGGAGCACAAGAGGCCAAAUGAAAUCACACAAGCAAAGAAAUAGUUGAAGAAAUAAAGGUUGGGAAUUUUCUAAAAUUAAGGACAGUAAGCCAUAGAUCCAAGACACUCAAAGAACACCAAACAAAAUAUAUGUAUACACAUACUAGGCAUAUCAAAAAUGCUAAAACAACAAAAAAAUGCUGAAACAGAAUCUUAAAGACCAGCCCAGAGAAAAAAUGACGACCUACAGAGGAAGCAAAAAAUUACCAAAUGAUGCAAGCCAGAAGACUGGAGUGACCAGCACUGAAAGAAGAAAACCUGUCAACCCAGAGUCCCACACCCAGUGAAAAUAUCUUUGAAAAUGAAGGGGAAAUAAAGUCUUUAGAAGAAAAAGAAAAACUGAGGGAAUACAUUGCCAGAAGACCUCUGUUUCAACUAGAAAUAUUAAAGGAAGUUCUUUAGGCAGAAGGAAUGUGAAACCAGACAGAAAUGUGGGUCUACAACAAAAUUAAGAGUGCUGGAAAUGGAAUAAAUGGAAGUAAAAUUUAAAAUUUAAUUGCUUUAAAAUAAGUCUACAGAGGUCAGCAAAUCUUCUGUAAAGGAGCAUGUAAAUAAUUUUAAGUUUUGCAUGUCCUAUGAUCUCUUGUAAGCACUCUACUGCUGUGGAACGAAAUCAGUCUUAGGCAAUAGGUGUAUCAGCAUGGCUGUGUUCCAAUAAAGCUUUAUAGACUCUUAAGAUUUGAAUUUCACAUAAUUUUUAUGUCCUACAAGUUACUCUUUUGGCCUUCCCCCCCCCCAAUCAUUUAAAAUUGUUAAAGCCAUUCUUGGCUCAUGAGCCAUCCUUUAGAUUGUGUAACUAUAGCAUAUGUAAAAAUAAAAAAUAUGUAUACAGGGAAUGGUGGUAUAUCUGUACAAUGAAAUACUGAGCAAUAAAAGGAAUACACUUGUACAUGCA
Leptonychotes weddellii (Weddell seal) is the source of this 7847-nucleotide non-coding RNA. The record is from RefSeq and is a predicted model, not a curated record. Lineage: Eukaryota; Metazoa; Chordata; Mammalia; Carnivora; Phocidae.